GGCACGUGCACGCGUUGCGGUGCAACGCUCGCCAAGGC
Non-coding RNA from Desulfovibrio desulfuricans, 38 nucleotides. The record is from Rfam. NCBI's taxonomy places the organism in Bacteria, Pseudomonadati, Thermodesulfobacteriota, Desulfovibrionia, Desulfovibrionales, Desulfovibrionaceae.